Mercurialis annua (annual mercury) is the source of this 1911-nucleotide long non-coding RNA. RefSeq lists it as uncharacterized. The record is from RefSeq and is a predicted model, not a curated record. Lineage: Eukaryota; Viridiplantae; Streptophyta; Magnoliopsida; Malpighiales; Euphorbiaceae. The transcript has 3 exons.
AACCAUUAUUCAUAUCCAUUAUCAUUUUCUUUCAGUUUUUGAGCUCAUUUUUAUUUAAUCAAUCUCCUUACUGAUGAUGGUCAUACGGGCAUGUCGGUUCUCGACCCUUGAAUUAAAGGAUUUUGUGAAAACACAUGACAUGGCCGGUGGUUGCGGUUAUAGUGUUAUUAGGUGAUUCUGGUUAGGUGAUGUAUUGGGCGGCUGAAUGUUGAUUUCGAUGGCAGAAAAUUGUAUGUGAUAUGCUAUUAGCACGGUCACAGAAAACAGGACGUUCGGAUGCAGACAAGUGAAACAGUGUCAUUUUAUGUUAAGUUUCUGGCACGUUUACAAAACAGAAAAUCUUGAUGAAAUGAAGUGUUUGUGCUACCCAGGUGAUAUGUUGAUGUGUCUUUGUGUGUUUCUCUAGAUGUAAAUGAUGUAAUGACUAGUGAGGAUGAAAAGCCCAGUAUUUGUUGGUAUGAUGGAGAUAGGGGCUUGAGUCCUUGGUUCGUAUCUUUGUCAUCUGACCUUUGCCAUGACAGGUGCGCUUGCAUGGCAGGUCACCCAAUAUCCUUAAUAAAAGCUACUAUUUUGGUGUGGUUGAGGGGAGAUCGUACAGGAUUGCCUGGGUUCUCCUCUCUGGUGUGUGAUGUGUCUUGCUUUCUUAUCGGUUUCUCUAAAUCACACAGCACAACCAAUAGCAAUACAUCUAAUGCAAUGCCAGGAUAGUGCGAUUUCUCAACAAUUCGCUCGUUUUACAACUUGCCGCCUGAAAGGUAUACUCUGUUCUUUCACAUCCCUGUUUCCUUUUUCUUAUGGUACUGAACCAAAAAGGCACUGACUAUACUCUUAUAAUACACAUUUGCUGCUAGCUAUUUCGGUUAAAAGGUAAUCUUGGUUAUGGCAUUGGUAUCAUCAUUAGGGUGAUUUCAAAGUUGAAUUUAACUGGCAUUGAAUUGAGUUGUUCUUUUAUGUUAUCUCGUUCAUUUAACAUGACUGAGCGAUUUAAUUUCCUUUUGGCGCAAAAUUUAACUGAUACUGAUUGUUGUUUCUGAAAGUGGACUUAAAAUGCCAAAACAUAGGUGUCAAGAAGUUUUCGUGCAACAUUCUCUUGCAAACCUUUUUAUUGAAUCUUAUCUAGCAGAUCAAACCAUUCUUAAAACUGGUUUCAUAGCAAUUUUGUUACGUGUAUAUCUUCAUUAUCAAUCAGAUACAUACCAGUGACAAUAUUUCAAUAGUGAACGAAGUUAAUCUGAUGUCUAUUUAGUCGACUGGUUUCUGCUAUGUGAAAUAAUAUAUGUUCUGUUAUCCUACAUUAUUUGUGUAUUUGUUCUUCAAAUGAUUGUUUGCCAUCAAUACUAACCAUCGUCAUCUCCUGUUAUAGCAUGUUAUGUCUAAAUUUAUGUUAUGCAAAUGUAUUAUGUCAUAGAAUCGAUUGGACAAAUAGAACGCUGCUGUAUAAUCUGGGUUUUCCUGCAUAUGAGGAAGAUGCUUGUCAGUUUCAAUAUGAUUUUUGAGGAGAAGUGAAGAACAAGACUUAAGACCUCUUAUGUUGGCGGUGGCCGGAGGCCGGAGAUGGUGUCCAACAGUUUAAAGGCAAUCGACGGUAGCUGAUGGCGGGGAUGCCUGCCGAAGGGGGAAGUGGUCGGUGGUGACUAAAGGGGUUGUCCGAAGUUGGUCGAUGGUCAUUAGAGGGUCUGUCCAAAGGUGGUUGACGGUGACCUUGGUUGUGGGUGGUGGUCAGUAUUGGCUAGAGGCGGCUUACCGGAGGGGAUUGCCCGUAAGUGGGUGGUCGAAGGCGAGGGUGGCCGAAAGUGAUCGGUGGUCAAUUUGGGUCAACUUAAAUCGAUUUGGGUUCGUUUAGAGUGUCAACAUUUUUUGUAAAUUUUUGAACUUUUGGAUACAAAUAUAAUAUAUGGGCGUAAUUAGCAA